RNAcentral lists this ribosomal RNA (800 nucleotides) under bacterium enrichment culture clone IsoM-60. Its description in RNAcentral is "bacterial SSU rRNA". It matches the Rfam family "Bacterial small subunit ribosomal RNA", at positions 8 to 784 of the family's 1533-position model. The record is from RNAcentral.
AGAGUUUGAUCAUGGCUCAGAACUAACGCUGGCGGCGUGCCUAACACAUGCAAGUCGUACGAGAAAGUUGGCUUCGGCCGAUGAGUAAAGUGGCGCACGGGUGAGUAACGCGUGGAUAAUCUACCUUUUAGUUUGGAAUAACGUACCGAAAGGUGCGCUAAUACCGGAUAAUACUGAGUGACUACUGUUGCUUAGUCAAAGAAGGCUUCUGUUUACAUGCUUUUGCUGAAAGAUGAGUCCGCGUACCAUUAGCUAGUUGGUAGGGUAACGGCCUACCAAGGCUACGAUGGUUAGCUGGUCUGAGAGGAUGAUCAGCCACACUGGAACUGAGACACGGUCCAGACUCCUACGGGAGGCAGCAGUGAGGAAUAUUGCGCAAUGGGGGCAACCCUGACGCAGCAACGCCGCGUGAGUGAGGAAGGUUUUCGGACCGUAAAGCUCUGUCGAGCGGGAAGAAAUGCAUGGUGGCUAAUACCCAUCAUGCUUGACGGUACCGCUAAAGGAAGCACCGGCUAACUCCGUGCCAGCAGCCGCGGUAAUACGGGGGGUGCAAGCGUUGUUCGGAAUUAUUGGGCGUAAAGAGCGUGUAGGCGGCUGAAUAAGUCAGAUGUGAAAUCCCUGGGCUUAACCCAGGACGUGCAUUUGAAACUAUUCAGCUUGAGUAGGGGAGAGGAAAGUGGAAUUCCUGGUGUAGAGGUGAAAUUCGUAGAUAUCAGGAGGAACACCGGUGGCGAAGGCGACUUUCUGGCCCUAUACUGACGCUGAGACGCGAGAGCGUGGGUAGCAAACAGGAUUAGAUA